AAGAAUUAAAGAAAUCUAGUAAGUAUUAGAGAAUCAGAAAGAUUCCAAGUCCACAAGUUUCUUGUAUGUCCUUAAGGAAUUUUAACCCCCUCACAUGUUGCCAAGGUAAUGGAUUAAAUCUUCCCAGGAUAAAACAGAAUAAACCUUCCUACAACAGUGGCAAUACAAGCUGCAGGAUACCAACGAACUCAAAGAACGGAGCAAAAUCACACGUACGAAUCUGAGAGAGAGAGACUGCGAAUUAGGAUGCAGUAUAUUCAGAGAGAAAGAAGUUCUGGA
This 279-nucleotide long non-coding RNA is filed under the name Nicotiana benthamiana. RNAcentral describes it as "long non-coding RNA (NBEN_LNC014804)". The record is from RNAcentral. Lineage: Eukaryota; Viridiplantae; Streptophyta; Magnoliopsida; Solanales; Solanaceae.